CCCAAAUACUCUGGGAUAGCUCAGUUGGUGGAGCAUGAGACUCUUAAUCUCAGGGUUGUGGGUUCAAGCCCCGCAUUUGGCA
Non-coding RNA from Podarcis lilfordi (Lilford's wall lizard), 82 nucleotides. The record is from the annotation of a GenBank genome assembly. Lineage: Eukaryota; Metazoa; Chordata; Lepidosauria; Squamata; Lacertidae.